Molecule: long non-coding RNA, 478 nt
Filed under: Struthio camelus australis
Lineage: Eukaryota; Metazoa; Chordata; Aves; Struthioniformes; Struthionidae
Description: lncRNA (ENSSCUG00000005822.1)
Source: RNAcentral
CAGAAAACUUUAUUUUGAUUCUUUUCAUUUUAAAAAUGAAAUCGGUGUUUUCAGUUUGAAUCAGUUUGGCAAAAACCUGAAAAAUAUUUUAGAAAUAUUUUGAAAAAUUGCCUACUCUUGUUGAGUUUCUUCGCAGAAAACAAUAUGCAUUUUUUAGAGGCGUGGACCAACCUUUUUCUUUCUCGAUAAAGAAAGCACAGAGAACCAAGGCUUUAUUUUUAUAGUAUCAAUGGCAUCAAAGCUCCUAGGUUAAUACAGCUGGAACGCACUGCCAGGUCUAAAAACCUCAGAACAGGGCAGCAGCAGCAGCAGCUGAGACCGUCAGAGAGCCCCUGAGAUUUGGAUCGCAAAUGUGGAUUAUUGCUUCAGGAUGAGUCAGAAUACACUGCAAGAACUUCUCAUUCUCUGGUCUCCAGUUCCUACUAAUUGUAAGGCAGAAUUUCCCUCCCAUCCAAAGUGGCCUCCAGUGGUUUCGUAG